This 515-nucleotide ribosomal RNA is filed under the name uncultured bacterium. Its description in RNAcentral is "partial 16S ribosomal RNA". It matches the Rfam family "Bacterial small subunit ribosomal RNA", at positions 28 to 523 of the family's 1533-position model. The record is from RNAcentral.
GAUGAACGCUGGCGGCGUGCCUAAUACAUGCAAGUCGAGCGAAUGGAUUAAGAGCUUGCUCUUAUGAAGUUAGCGGCGGACGGGUGAGUAACACGUGGGUAACCUGCCCAUAAGACUGGGAUAACUCCGGGAAACCGGGGCUAAUACCGGAUAACAUUUUGAACCGCAUGGUUCGAAAUUGAAAGGCGGCUUCGGCUGUCACUUAUGGAUGGACCCGCGUCGCAUUAGCUAGUUGGGGAGGUAACGGCUGACAAAGGCAACGAUGCGUAGCCGACCUGAGAGGAUGACCGGCCAAACUGGGACUGAGACACGGCCCAGACUCCUACGGGAGGCAGCAGUAGGGAAUCUUCCGCAAUGGACGAAAGUCUGACGGAGCAACGCCGCGUGAGUGAUGAAGGCUUUCGGGUCGUAAAACUCUGUUGUUAGGGAAGAACAAGUGCUAGUUGAAUAAGCUGGCACCUUGACGGUACCUAACCAGAAAGCCACGGCUAACUACGUGCCAGCCGCCGCGGUAA